AUCCUUCGGGGUGAGCGGCAGACGGGUGAGUAACGCGUGGGGAUGUGCCUAGAGGUGGGGAAUAACUGUGGGAAACUACAGCUAAUACCGCAUAAGCCCUUCGGGGGAAAGAUUUAUCGCCUUUAGAUCAACCCGCGUCAGAUUAGCUAGUUGGUAGGGUAAUGGCCUACCAAGGCGACGAUCUGUAGCUGGUCUGAGAGGAUGAUCAGCCACACUGGGACUGAGACACGGCCCAGACUCCUACGGGAGGCAGCAGUGGGGAAUAUUGGACAAUGGGCGCAAGCCUGAUCCAGCCAUGCCGCGUGAGUGAUGACGGCCUUAGGGUUGUAAAGCUCUUUUAACAGGGACGAUAAUGACGGUACCUGUAGAAUAAGCCCCGGCUAACUUCGUGCCAGCAGCCGCGGUAAUACGAAGGGGGCUAGCGUUGUUCGGAAUCACUGGGCGUAAAGCGCACGUAGGCGGAUUGUUAAGUCGGGGGUGAAAUCCUGAGGCUCAACCUCAGAACUGCCUUCGAUACUGGCGAUCUUGAGUUCGGAAGAGGUUGGUGGAACAGCUAGUGUAGAGGUGAAAUUCGUAGAUAUUAGCUAGAACACCAGUGGCGAAGGCGGCCAACUGGUCCGAUACUGACGCUG
This 632-nucleotide ribosomal RNA is filed under the name Labrys sp. (in: a-proteobacteria). Its description in RNAcentral is "bacterial SSU rRNA". It matches the Rfam family "Bacterial small subunit ribosomal RNA", at positions 81 to 748 of the family's 1533-position model. The record is from RNAcentral. Lineage: Bacteria; Pseudomonadati; Pseudomonadota; Alphaproteobacteria; Hyphomicrobiales; Xanthobacteraceae.